RNAcentral lists this unclassified non-coding RNA (374 nucleotides) under Hevea brasiliensis (rubber tree). Lineage: Eukaryota; Viridiplantae; Streptophyta; Magnoliopsida; Malpighiales; Euphorbiaceae. The record is from RNAcentral.
CCUUCUAGUGUCUGGACACAACUUUUGGUUUGAUAGUCCCAGACCUUAGCAGUGUGAUCAUCAGAACCUGUGAUUAGAUAAGGUUUAUCACCACCAGUAAAGUAAUCAACACAAUUUACUCCUUUCUGAUGGGCAUCCAGUGUAAAAUUUGGGUCUGGUGAGCCAAGAUUCCAAAUCUUUAUGGUGUGAUCAAGGGAUGCACUAGCAAAAGUAUUUGUAUCUUUUGGAUUAAAUGUCACUUGCAUCACAUAAUGGGAGUGUCCCUCAAAUAUCUGAGUACAGACCCAACCUUUCUCCCAAUCCCAAAGCUUUAUGAGCAUAUCAUCAGAUGAUGACAGCACAUAUGGAAGGGUAGGAUGGACAGCCACACAUCU